GGCCUAUUAGCUCAGUUGGUUAGAGCGUCGUGCUAAUAACGCGAAGGUCACAGGUUCGAUCCUGUAUAGGCCA
Non-coding RNA from Brassica rapa (field mustard), 73 nucleotides. Lineage: Eukaryota; Viridiplantae; Streptophyta; Magnoliopsida; Brassicales; Brassicaceae. The record is from Rfam.